UAAGUUUCUUUCAAAUUUAGGAACAUACCUCAUCUAACAAUUUCACACGGUCACCAUGCAACUUGAUCUUCACUUUUCCAACACUUUCAACUUUCAUUUUCUUUCUAUUGGUUAGCUUCACCUUCUCUCAUUUUUUCUCCUUAAUCAAAUUGAACUACACUUUUUUUGAGCAAAUGUGAAAUGGGCAAGCAGAAUCUAUUAACUACUUAUCUUGCAAUGGAUCUUUUGCCUUUUUUCUUAUCAUCAUCCGCAUUCAAACAUUUACCUUUA
This 270-nucleotide unclassified non-coding RNA is filed under the name Hevea brasiliensis (rubber tree). Lineage: Eukaryota; Viridiplantae; Streptophyta; Magnoliopsida; Malpighiales; Euphorbiaceae. The record is from RNAcentral.